Molecule: RNA transcript, 3871 nt
Organism: Rosa rugosa (rugosa rose)
Lineage: Eukaryota; Viridiplantae; Streptophyta; Magnoliopsida; Rosales; Rosaceae
Gene name: alanine--tRNA ligase-like
Exons: 6
Source: RefSeq, a predicted model, not a curated record
UAAACUCUGUCCCUCUUCAUUCGAGCAAAACACCCACCUCCCGCCUGCAGCUCAAAAUCACUGUCGAGCUCCCGCUCUCUCUCUCUCUCUCUCUCUCUCAGACGCACCCUCACUCCCAUUUUCUCACAGAGUCUCAAAACCAUGUCGUCGGAGCUUUCAACCAUCACAGCUUGCUUGCGAGGUUCUUGAAGAAAGUAAGCUCCUUCUUUCGAAGUAGGUACGGAUAUUUCGUAUUGGUUUGUAUUAAAUUUGAAUUGGGGAUUAGGGUUUUGUUGCAAUCGAUUUUGGGUGGGACUUUGUAUUGAAUUGGGGAUUAGGUUUUAGUUUUCUGGUUUUGGGGAUUGGGAGUUUUAGAGAACUCGAUUUAUGUGUGAUCCCACCGGGUAGUAAAAGUAAAACGACGUGUUCGAUAAUCGAUAUAGUUACUGCGAAACCCCGCCAAUGCAGUAGACUAUUUACCAGAAAAGAGCCACAAUCUCUAUUUGCUGCUUGUCUGGUUUAUAUUUUGGGAGGUCCCAAGCAAGAAUAGAAAUUUGGUUGUAGAGAGAUAAAGGCUUGUCAGCGGAGGCCUUGAAUGGUGCGAUCCGAUCCGAUCUGCGUACGUCAUCAUGUUUCUCUUCGACUGGUUCUACGGCGUGCUCGCUUCCCUCGGUCUGUGGCAGAAGGAGGUCAAGAUCUUGUUCCUAGGGCUCGAUAAUGAUGGCAAGACCACCUUGCUUCACAUGCUCAAAGAUGAUAGGCUGGUGCAGCAUCAACCUAUGCAAUAUCCCACAUCCGAGGAGAGGAGUAUUGGCAAAAUCAAGUUCAAGGCCUUUGAUUUGGGAGGUCAUCAGAUUGCUCGCAGGGUCUGGAAGGAUUACUAUGCAAAGGUUAGCUAUACUGUGCUUUAUGUAAAUGCCGAUAUUGCUGCUUUACAUCAUUGUGUCUUUUUAGAGUUGUUUUUUAAUGCCUCCUGGAUUCCUGUGUGUGAUAAUUAUGUCUACUGUCCAAUGUAAUGGGAACGGGUCAGUUGGUUUCUUGUCAAACCAGCAAAGAGCAAUUGUUGCCUUAGCACGUGCAAGGUAUUGCCUUUGGAUAUUGGGGAAUGCGUCAACUUUGAUUGCUAGUGACUCUGUUUGGAAGAAGCUAGUCCUUGAUGCCAAGAAACGGAACUGUUUUUAUAAUUGAUCGGUUUCUUACUUUGAAUACUUUCUGGAUUUUCAAUUUUCAGUCUUCAAUUCUUCAAUCGCCUCGAAUUCAAGUAGCAAAGCACAUGGCAAUGAUGGUCAUGAAUAUGUUCUGAGAUGUAUUCUCCGUCGAGCUGUCCGAUAUGGAAGAGAGGUGGUAAAAGCUCAAGAAGGAUUUUUCAAUGGGCUUGUACCGGUGCUGGCGGCACUGAUGGGUGAUGUAUUUCCAGAGCUAAAACAACAUGAAGCAGGCAUUAGGGAGAUAAUCAAAGAGGAGGAAGAAGCAUUUGGCAAGACUCUAAUUAAGGGAAUAGAAAAAUUCAAAAAGGCAGCUCAAGAUGUUCAAGGCAAAACAUUUAGUGGGCAGGUUAGUACAUUGUAUUUUGAUUUUACCCUUGCACCUUUUCUAGUCAUAUCUUAUGCUCUGCAAAGUUGUUGCUGUGACAAUGGUUCUUGCUAAAGAGGGGGAAAAUCUUUUCAUUCAACUACCCUGAGGUUGUUGAAGUUUCUGAAGUUGUAGUCUCUUCUAGUGUCUUGUUGGUUCAUAGUUGGAGUGUCAAAAAAACCGAGUCCUUCACAAAACAUUCCUGAUAUCAGUAGUUGCUUUGAAAUCAUAGUUGCAUUCAAAGCCCCAGAACAUAUUAUUUGCUAUUUAAGUGUUUGACAGAAUUGACAAAUGGUUCAUUGUACAAAUUGAGAUGAAAUUUGCAUCUGUUUUGGUAUGAAAAUAAUAUCAAUCAAGCAUCUGUUUUGGUAUGCUGGCGUGCUGCCAGUUUUGGACUUUUGGUAUGCUGCUUUGUUUCUCUAUGACAUCUCCUCAGUUAAGUUCAAUUGAUUUUGAGUCUUUUGGUUUGUUUUUGUUAAGUUCCAGCUCUUCUAUUUAGGGUUCAUUGGUUAAAACUGAAGGUAGAAAAGAGGUUCUGCAAAUGUGAAUUUGUGUUUCUGAGUUUCUGACCCAGUUGAACUUUUACUGAAAACUGUACAGUUCGGUUGGGAACUUGAAAUUAUUAUCUUCUUACAAAUUGCAAUAGACAUCUUAAAGAUUGUUUCAGAAUUGGAAUCUCCUAAAAACAAUUUUUCUAGUAUUACUUAUGAUUUUUCAAAGUUGCAGGUCUGCUGCAGGAAUUUCUGUACACAGCAAUACUGUCUUUUUAUUUCGGUCUCUUUAGUAGUUUUCUACGUCCAGUCUUUCUUGAAAGCACCAGUACUUGAAAAGUAGGCAUUCCCAUCCUUCAAAUGAAAUCAGUCUUGCUCUUUUUGGAGUUCGUAUGAAGGAUUUAUGUCAUCACGAAGUUAGCUCUAUGCAUUAGGAUUUUUGCAGCAUAAUUUUCUGCAAACAUUAAGCACUUUUCUGGGUGUUAAACUAUCUCAGUUUCUUGGAAAAUAGAACACUGGGUUUCUUGUGCCUAAGGUGUUUGUUGAAAUGCAUAGCUGAAAAAUAAAUGAAUCCAACUUCUACUGUUAAGGCCAUUGGUCACAGUCUUUCAAUUGUAUCUUUUCUCAAUAUGUUCCAGCAAUAUAUGAGCUAUGAAGGAAGUUCUAUUUGUACAAAGGAAGAGAUUUCUGUUCCAGCAAUAUAUGUCAGAGUGGUAAUUCAUGAUUAAAAUGUAAGUUUCUGUUAGGUAAUGGACUCUUCUUCACUGCAUUUGCGCUUCAUUUCAAGUGUGCUUCAUGGUGGGUUCUAUCUAGUUUGAUCAUGAUUGAUAGAGUUCGUUGGAUCAAUAAGGAAAAGCUUGCCAAGUUCAUUUUAGACUAUCAGGUUUUACAUAACCUAUUUGUACAUUUGGAAUAUUCUUUAGGAAUUUCCAAAGUGAAAUUCUAAUCAUGUGACUGAGUUUUAAUGAGUUCUUGUGGUUAAUUAUUAAAACUUGCAGGAUGUUGAAAAUGGAGGAAGACAGACCAGAUGAUGCCUGUGAUGCCUACCAUACAUAUUUUAGUGUAGCAGGUAUAAUAGUAGAUGCCCAGUUGGAGCCUCUGCUUUUACAUAAGAAGCAUAGAAUCCUUCCCUACUUGUAGGUUGGAUUAUUUUCUCCAUUUGAUACUUGUCAGUUUCUUCCUUAAUGACUAGAUUUGCAUUGUUUUCUCCAUAAAGGUGUCCUGUAGACAUUCAGAUGCACUAUCAUUUAAUGUAGUUUGAAGUUUCAUUGUGCAUUUUGAGUUGCUUUCAAUUUCCAUUGUGCACAGCAAUUUGAUGUAGCUGCGUUGUUAUUUGAACCACACACACCAAGGGAGUAUGUGCAGGGCUCGCAAGCCGAAUGGCUGCAUAUGCAGGUUGGUGGUAGCUUUGAAAGAACAACAUAAACUCGGAAUAUAAACUCUUCAAGUCCCAAUUGGUUCGGAAUGUGCUUAAUUAGUUCUGCAUCUGGUGUAAUAGAAAUCUAUUUUCUGAAUGUACUAAUGUAGUGUGAACAUGGUAGUAUAUCAUAUUAGCAGUUACAAGACGGCUGCCAGUGGAUUAUCUGCUAAGCUCACUCAACAGUGAAAGUAAAGGCUGUUGUUGAUGCGAAAGUAAAGGUUGUUGUUGAUGCAACUUCUGCUGGCAUCUUCAUUGUCAUCAUAAAGUGUGUUCUUCAAGACUUAGUUGGUUUCAACAUUUUACUAAAUUUUGUUAGAAAACUAGUUCUGUUGAUGUAAUGACUUUGUUGGAUAUAUGGAUGAAUGUAUCGGAUUUUAACAUAAAUGAAUGUGUUUUGGAUGUGAUGUCA